GGAGAGAGGUAGUCAGAGGCUACAUACCAAUCGCGCUACUAGAUAGCUAGUUCCCCUUAACCCUUGUCUAAGCAAGAAAAAUAACGUAUUAUUUCCCGCGAUUAGAGCUAAGUCUUAUCGUGUCCCCUCCAUUGUCAAUCACAAUUAACUUAUCUAUUGUAGGAACAACAGUGCCCACCAAAUAUUAUAGUGUUAUAACAACAUCCAAAUAUCUCCAUAAUACCUAAAUUUCCAAUGAGGCCCGCUAUUGGGGCGUUCUUAAAAACCGCCUAGAAGAAGCGCUUAUGCUAGGAUGAGUAUUAUUAACAAAACUCCCCCCAUCCCUAGAGACCCCUUAAACUAAACACCCGCAAAAAAGGAACUCGGCAAAUACAGGCUUCGACUGUUUACCAAAAACAUUGCCCCCAGACAAAAAGAUUGGGGGUACGUCCUGCCCAGUGACAUACGUGUUCAACGGCCGCGGUACCCUAACCGUGCAAAGGUAGCAUAAUCACUCGCCUUUUAAUUGGAGGCUGGCAUGAAUGGAUAAACGAGGGUCUAGCUGUCUCUUUUGCGCCAAUAAAAAUUAAACCUUGAGUGAAGAUGCUCAAAUGAAGAUGAGUGACAAGAAGACCCUGUUGAGCUUUAUUCUCCCGUUAGAGCACCAGUACACUCAACGAAAAACUGCUAAGUCUAGCGAAGAAUUUUGUUGGGGCGACAAAGGGAUAAACGAAUCUCCCUCGAUAACCAAGACUCUCGGUCUUACAAGUGACCCUAACUGGACCAAAAGAUUAAGCUACCACAGGGAUAACAGGCUAAUUCUCCUCGAGAGCCCACAUUAACAGGAGAGUUUGGCACCUCGAUGUUGGCUUGGGGACACUUGCACGGUGCAGGAGCC
RNAcentral lists this ribosomal RNA (877 nucleotides) under Polygordius eschaturus. RNAcentral describes it as "partial 16S ribosomal RNA". It matches the Rfam family "Bacterial large subunit ribosomal RNA", at positions 803 to 2563 of the family's 2925-position model. The record is from RNAcentral. Lineage: Eukaryota; Metazoa; Annelida; Polychaeta; Polygordiidae.